Molecule: ribosomal RNA, 322 nt
Filed under: uncultured eukaryote
Lineage: Eukaryota
Description: partial 18S ribosomal RNA
Rfam family: Eukaryotic small subunit ribosomal RNA
Source: RNAcentral
CCCUUAGAUGUUCUGGGCCGCACGCGCGCUACACUGAGUGGAUCAGCGGGUCAGGUUGCGCGAAAGCGUUUCCUAAUCUUUAAAUCCGCUCGUGAUGGGGAUUGACGGUUGCAAUUUUCUGUCAUGAACGAGGAAUACCUUGUAAGCGCGGGUCAUCAUCCCGCGCUGAAUACGUCCCUGCCCUUUGUACACACCGCCCGUCGCUCCUACCGAUUGAGUGGUCCGGUGAGGCUUUGGGAUCUGAGCGGAAAGAGCGUUUCGCUGCUUCUGCUCGGAAAACUCAGUCGAACCUUAUCAUUUAGAGGAAGGAGAAGUCGUAACA